This is a long non-coding RNA of Triplophysa rosa, 1059 nucleotides long. RefSeq lists it as uncharacterized. NCBI's taxonomy places the organism in Eukaryota, Metazoa, Chordata, Actinopteri, Cypriniformes, Nemacheilidae. The transcript is spliced from 3 exons. The record is from RefSeq and is a predicted model, not a curated record.
CGCCAAGCAUGCGGCACGUUCUGAAGCAAGUGGACGUUCGGCUGUGUUCAGCUAAAGCAAAAUCAUCGUUUUCCACUCAGUUGAAGGUGCUGCAAAUUGCAAGAAUUGGAGGGAAGAACACCAAGGACUGUGCCCACAAUGUCUUUGACAGGCUCUUCACUUGAGCCCUGAUGGCGCAAUUCAGUAUGAAGGGGAAGGGGAAAAAGGGCAUGAAAUAUUUGGAGAAGACACAGGUUUGUAGAGCAAUUUUUUUGUAAGCCCAUAUUUCAUGUUGAUCAAGGGAAGAUAAUUAGCUCCUGCCAAUCUGUGAAUAAUGACUUGAUUGGACAAAACAUGUCCUUCCCUGUUGACAUUUAAAAUACAAUGCUAACUGUCUACCAUGGCUAUUUUAUCAUUUGCUUGGGUGGUAUUGUAUCAAUCCAGUAUUGGUAGUUUUGCUUAUGAGUAAAGGGACUUGGUGUAAUGACUGCAGAUUGCCUUUGCAUUUUUCUAAUAAUUUGUCUUUUUUUCUACUUGUGCAUAUGGAGUCAUGAAAUUUGAUGACACAGCCACAGAGGACUUCAUGGGGAUGAACGCUUCAGAACAUCUGAAGCAUGCACCGCAAAGAAGUGGAGGACAUGCAGCAGCCACUCAGGACUGAUUAUCCAUUGUGGUGCAUCUUGUCAUUGUUUACACAGCUUUUGUACAUUGUCUUCUUUUCUGUGUUCAGUAUAGUUGCUUAUGGUUGGAUUCUUACCUCAAAACACUAAUUAUUUUCUUAUUUUUAUUUUACCCUCAGUGUUGAUUUUAGAAAGUUAACUGUUCUGCUGGGUUAAGAUGGGGAUUAAUGAAUCCAUCAAUCCUUUUCUAUUACUGGUAGUUUCACUUUCAUUUAGUUUCGGCAGACAAUCAAAGGUAAAGCAUGUUGGCUUCAACUGAUACACAACAUUGAAGUGAUGUCCGCAUGCAAGCCAUUCAAUUCACGUUCCUUGUUUUUACUGGUAGUUGGCAGGAAAUUCAACAAGUCAAAGCUUUAUUAGUGACAUGUUUGUGAACGUUAAUAAAAAUAAAGAUGGAAAU